UAAUAUGAAGGAGUUAUUCAUUUUUGAAGUUGAGGAAAAUCACUUGUUCAAUGGUCUUGGUCCAAAAUGAUCUAUAAUGUAUAAUCACAUGCUCAUAAAAGUUGAAUUAGCUAUUUCUCCAAACAUAAAAGUUGAAGUAGACAUCUUGAAUUCGAUUGUGAAACUUGAAAAUCUUUCAUCUCAUAAAAAAUGAGCAAGUUAUGGCGUUGGGAAGUUGACCUCCAAAUUAGGGUUUAGACAAAAUGACCUAUAA
This 253-nucleotide long non-coding RNA is filed under the name Lathyrus oleraceus (garden pea). RNAcentral's name for it is "Pisum sativum (pea) long non-coding RNA (PSAT_LNC028033)". The record is from RNAcentral. Lineage: Eukaryota; Viridiplantae; Streptophyta; Magnoliopsida; Fabales; Fabaceae.